RNAcentral lists this ribosomal RNA (425 nucleotides) under uncultured bacterium. RNAcentral describes it as "partial 16S ribosomal RNA". It matches the Rfam family "Bacterial small subunit ribosomal RNA", at positions 354 to 796 of the family's 1533-position model. The record is from RNAcentral.
GUUAGGAAUAUUGGACAAUGGGCGAAAGCCUGAUCCAGCCAUGCCGCGUGAACGAUGAAGGCCUUCGGGUUGUAAAGUUCUUUAGCCGAUGAUUAUAAUGACUGUAGUCGGAAAAUAAGCCCCGGCUAACUUCGUGCCAGCAGCCGCGGUAAUACGAAGGGGGCGAGCGUUAUUCGGAAUCACUGGGCGUAAAGCGUGCGUAGGCGGUUUUGUAAGUUAGGAGUGAAAGCCCAGGGCUCAACCAUGGAAUUGCUCUUAAAACUGCAAGGAUCGAAUCUCGGAGAGGAUAGCGGAAUUUCCAGUGUAGCAGUGAAAUGCGUAGAUAUUGGAAGGAACACCAGUGGCGUAAGCGGCUAUCUGGACGAGUAUUGACGCUGAGGCACGAAAGCGUGGGGAUCAAACAGGAUUAGAUACCCUAGUAGUCC